This 472-nucleotide ribosomal RNA is filed under the name uncultured bacterium. RNAcentral's name for it is "partial 16S ribosomal RNA". It matches the Rfam family "Bacterial small subunit ribosomal RNA", at positions 28 to 507 of the family's 1533-position model. The record is from RNAcentral.
GAUGAACGCUAGCGGCGUGCUUAACACAUGCAAGUCGAACGCUGAAGCUUUGUGCUUGCACUGGGUGGAUGAGUGGCGCACGGGUGAUUUAUACGUGAGUAACCUGCGCUGGACACUGCGAUGAACCUGGGAAACUGGGUCUAAUACUUGAUACGACAUCUCCCCGCGUUGUUUUGUGUGGAAAUGGUUUUACUUGUGUUGGAUGGGCUAACGCCCGAUGAGAUUGUUGGGGGGGUAAUAGCUCACCAUGGCUACGACGGGUAGGCGGCCUGAGAGGGUCACCGGCCACACUGGGACUGAGACACGGCCCAGACUCGUACGGGAGGCAGCAGUAGGGAAUAUAGAACAAUGGGGCAAAGCCUGAUGCAGGGACGCUGCGUGAGGGAUGACGGCCUGCGGGUUGUAAACAUCUUUAAGCCCGGAAGAAGCGAAAGUGACGGUACGUGAAGAAGAAGCGGCGGCUAACUACGUG